AUAAGGUACUUAUAUUUAUAUUUCGUUUAUAUAAUAAUUAGUACUAAAAAUAAGGUACUUAUAUUUAUAUUUCAUUCAGUAAUUUAAAUAAGUACAUACUGCACAAUGAGUAUAGAAAUUGAUUGUAAUGGCUAGAAUACACUUAUAUUUUAUUCUACAAACAAAAAGAAACAUCAUAUAACAACAUUAAUUUUUAUCAAACUUGAUUUUUAUAUAAGCAAGGGUCUAUAAGAGCUUUAAUGUUACUGUUAUUUGGCACAUCUGCACACUGUGGGCCAUAUCAUGCCAUUUAAUCUUUCAAGGGUUAUAUUUCUCUACUCAGUAAACACAGACAUUAUAUAAAUUAUAAUUCAAGUAUUAAAAUCUGCUUAUAUUUAGUUAAAAUAUUAAAGAUUCUAGUUGUAUUUAUUAAUCUGGUCUAACUAUAUAUAUUUUUUCCAAAAUUAACACAGAUUAUUUCUUUCAGCUAUUUCCCAGCAUCUACAUGGUCAUGUAGUGUGUCUAAGUGUUUUGAGGUUGUGUUAAAAUAUUUCCAUCUAAAAUCCCUGUAUCUGAGGCAACCAAGGAGGUUGAUAAACUGGAGUUGAUGAAGGAGGAGUUCAAAUGUAAAAAUGAUAAACUGAAAGAUCAAAUGAGACUCAGAAAGAGGAGUUCAAAUGUAAAAAUGAUAAACUGGAAGAUCAAAUGAGACUCAGAAA
Non-coding RNA from Biomphalaria pfeifferi, 698 nucleotides. The record is from the annotation of a GenBank genome assembly. NCBI's taxonomy places the organism in Eukaryota, Metazoa, Mollusca, Gastropoda, Planorbidae.